GAUGAACGCUGGCGGCGUGCUUAACACAUGCAAGUCGAACGAUGAAGCCCAGCUUGCUGGUAGGUGUAUUAGGUGGACGGGUAACGGGUGAACGUAACCGUACGGUAGGUAACGUUAACCGUCCGACCCUAGUAGGACGACGGUUAGGGUUAAGGGUAAGGGUAGGGUAAAAACGGUUAAAACCUACCUACGGUAGGGGAACCGGGAAACCCCGAAACCGGGAGGGGCCCUUAAAAAACGGGUUUAAAAGGUAGGUACGGUUCGGGGUAGGGGGACGAACGGAAACGGCCAACCAACGGGGAAGGGGUAAGUAGG
RNAcentral lists this ribosomal RNA (315 nucleotides) under uncultured Arthrobacter sp. Its description in RNAcentral is "partial 16S ribosomal RNA". The record is from RNAcentral. Lineage: Bacteria; Bacillati; Actinomycetota; Actinomycetes; Micrococcales; Micrococcaceae.